This 544-nucleotide long non-coding RNA is filed under the name Rattus norvegicus (Norway rat). RNAcentral describes it as "long non-coding RNA NONRATT028731". The record is from RNAcentral. Lineage: Eukaryota; Metazoa; Chordata; Mammalia; Rodentia; Muridae.
UAUGAAGGAUAAUCAUAAACCUGGUGAAAUGCCAUACAUCUGUCAGGUUUGCAAUUACAGAUCAUCAUUAUUUUCUGAGGUAGAGUCUCAUUUUAGAACAUCGCAUGAAAACACUAAGAAUUUGCUAUGUCCAUUCUGCCUCAAAGUUAUUAAAAUUGCCACACCCUAUAUGCAUCAUUACAUGAAGCAUCAGAAAAAGGGAAUACAUCGUUGCACCAAAUGCAGACUGCAAUUUUUGACAUGCAAAGAGAAAAUGGAUCACAAGACUCAACAUCACCGAACAUUUGUAAAACCCAAGCAACUAGAAGGACUGCCCCCUGGAACAAAAGUUACUAUUCGAGCUUCCGUUGCACCUCUUCAAUCGGGAUCUUCAGUUACACCUUCUAUCAGUGCAAGCACUUCUACCCUCCAGCUCUCACCUCCAAGGACUGAAAAUGUAACUGCUAAAAAUCACGUGAAACUGAAUACAAGUACACCAAAUACAACCAUAUCUGAUCCCAGUAAAACUAAUGAGAUCAAGUCUAAUGGAAGUAAAUCUAAAAAC